GGGUGCGUAGCUCAGGGGUAGAGCGUUGCUCUUACAAAGCAAAUGUCGGCGGUUCGAAACCGUCCGCGCCCACCA
Molecule: transfer RNA, 75 nt
Filed under: Streptomyces niveus
Lineage: Bacteria; Bacillati; Actinomycetota; Actinomycetes; Kitasatosporales; Streptomycetaceae
Also listed under: 12 other names
Description: tRNA-Val
Rfam family: tRNA
About the family: Transfer RNA (tRNA) molecules are approximately 80 nucleotides in length. Their secondary structure includes four short double-helical elements and three loops (D, anti-codon, and T loops). Further hydrogen bonds mediate the characteristic L-shaped molecular structure. tRNAs have two regions of fundamental functional importance: the anti-codon, which is responsible for specific mRNA codon recognition, and the 3' end, to which the tRNAs corresponding amino acid is attached (by aminoacyl-tRNA synthetases). tRNAs cope with the degeneracy of the genetic code in two manners: having more than one tRNA (with a specific anti-codon) for a particular amino acid; and 'wobble' base-pairing, i.e. permitting non-standard base-pairing at the 3rd anti-codon position.
Source: RNAcentral